AGGCUCCGAGCUGUCAGCACAAAGCCCAACGCAGGGCUCGAACUCACAAAUCGUGAGAUCACGACCUGAACUUAUGUCAGUUGCUUAACCGACUGAGCCAUCCAAGCACCCCCCAGGAAGAUUCUUUAAAUGCAUGUACGGUUAAUUCCGUUCCUGGCAACCACUAAUCUACUUCCUGUUCCCAUCAGGUUUGCCUUUCAUGGAAAUUUCACAUAAAUGGAAUCCUACGAUAUGUGACCUCUUCCAUCUGGCCUCUUUCAACGAAGCAGACGACUUGAAGGUCCGUGUUGUGGCACGUGCUUAGCAGUAGUUCGUGCCUUUUCAUUGCCAAAUAGAACUCCACCAGGUGACGGGCCACUAUGUUGCUUCCGACGUUUGGCUUUGAGGAACAAAGCUGUUCUGAAAAUUUCACGGCAAGUCUUGGUAUGGGGGGGAUGUUGUCAUUUCUCCAGGGUAAAUUCCUAGGAGUGGAUUUGCUGGGUCCUAUGGUAAAUUUAACUUAUCACAUGACCACAUUUAACUAUCACAUGACCACACCCAAGGGUCUCUUCUGAGGCCAGCGCCCUGCAUUACUCCUGGCCUUGCCCUCUUCUUCCUUCCACGUGGCCGCAGGCCUCUUAACCCACGACCUCUCCAUACCUUGGGACCUGGGCUAAAGUGAUCCCUGCACCCAGAAAGCAACGGGUCCCCUUACCAUAGAGUCUGCUAAUGUCCCCAGUACCCACUCGCCUCUAUGAGCUCCUGAGUGAGCUAGGCGUGUACCCAUCCAGGAAAACCUUCCUUGCUGUUGGAUAUGGUCACGUGAGUAAGUCUGGCUAAUGGGGUAGAAGUAAAAGUGUCAUUUCCAAGCAGUGUCUAUCCAGGGAGGAGGUGAGACCUUCAUCGUUCCUUCUUCCUGACAGUUGGAAUGCAGAUGUAAUGUCUGGAGCUCCAGCAGUGACCUUGGAUCACAAGAUCCGCUGUGCCCAGGAUGAGGGACUGUUGGCUCCCUUCAGGAGAAAACGUCGUCCUACCCCAACAGUGGCCCCACGAGACGACCCGUAGCUCCUGACACCUUCAGACCCACCCCUGGCCACCAUCAGGCACAGAAGAAGCUACCAGAGAUCAGAGAUCACCUGGAGGGAGGAGCCACGUCCAGGGCCCCUGGGGCAGCAUUCUGGUCCUAUCCUGCCCACCAGUCCCUCAAGGACCCCCCACCCCCACCCCCAGUAUAGCAGGUCCAGGCGAAGGCCCCGCAGCGAGGUGGGCGGGCCUCACUGAGGCCCCAGUCUUGCCGGCAGUUCCCCAUGCCAGGAGGCCUCUGGGGAGCAUGUGGGGUGUCAUCCCUCUGCCCAGACCCUAGGGAUGUGCAAAGGCUGCUCAGCCCAAAGUCAGGGGUCCUGGGGUCCACCCCGCCACGUGACUGCAGGGAGGUCACUCGCAUUCUCUGAGCCAAAUAAAAAGACUGCAUUAGA
Long non-coding RNA from Neofelis nebulosa (Clouded leopard), 1454 nucleotides. RefSeq lists it as uncharacterized. Lineage: Eukaryota; Metazoa; Chordata; Mammalia; Carnivora; Felidae. The record is from RefSeq and is a predicted model, not a curated record. The transcript is spliced from 3 exons.